GCUGAGAUCGCAUAAUCCGGUAUUGCGCCGGCCUUGAGAGCCGGUUCCUUCGGGAGUUGGGGGUUCGAAUCCCUCUCUCAGCG
This 83-nucleotide transfer RNA is filed under the name Candidatus Woesearchaeota archaeon. RNAcentral's name for it is "tRNA-Ser". It matches the Rfam family "tRNA". Rfam says of the family: Transfer RNA (tRNA) molecules are approximately 80 nucleotides in length. Their secondary structure includes four short double-helical elements and three loops (D, anti-codon, and T loops). Further hydrogen bonds mediate the characteristic L-shaped molecular structure. tRNAs have two regions of fundamental functional importance: the anti-codon, which is responsible for specific mRNA codon recognition, and the 3' end, to which the tRNAs corresponding amino acid is attached (by aminoacyl-tRNA synthetases). tRNAs cope with the degeneracy of the genetic code in two manners: having more than one tRNA (with a specific anti-codon) for a particular amino acid; and 'wobble' base-pairing, i.e. permitting non-standard base-pairing at the 3rd anti-codon position. Lineage: Archaea; Nanobdellati; Candidatus Woesearchaeota. The record is from RNAcentral. RNAcentral also lists the same sequence under 2 other names.